Molecule: small nucleolar RNA, 107 nt
Organism: Oryza sativa (Asian cultivated rice)
Lineage: Eukaryota; Viridiplantae; Streptophyta; Magnoliopsida; Poales; Poaceae
Rfam family: Plant small nucleolar RNA R71
About the family: R71 is a member of the C/D box family of snoRNAs containing the C (UGAUGA) and D (CUGA) box motifs. Multiple nearly identical copies of this snoRNA have been identified in Arabidopsis, and it is thought to function as a 2'-O-ribose methylation guide for 18S ribosomal RNA.
Source: Rfam
AUCCCAUGAUGAGGAUAGGCGGCCACGUACUCUUGCAGUCGUUCCCACACUUCCGGUAUGGACUCGUCCAUUGUCUGCUGGAAACUGGAAAUUCAUCCUCGAAGGGC